RNAcentral lists this long non-coding RNA (1606 nucleotides) under Calidris pugnax (ruff). RNAcentral describes it as "lncRNA (ENSCPUG00000011256.1)". Lineage: Eukaryota; Metazoa; Chordata; Aves; Charadriiformes; Scolopacidae. The record is from RNAcentral.
AUGGGGCAGCUCUCAGCUCCUGCCCAGGAGCACGAGGAGAUCAGGAGCACGAUGACUUCUUUUUUUUUUUUUUUUUUAACUUCUCCAUAUAAACCAAUAUUUACCAGUAAUCCUAUGUUUCUGUUUUUGUUUUUUGGCAGACUUUUACCAGUAAAUAUCGGUUUAUUCCUGAAACCAGAAGCCCUAAACAUACCUUUGUUUAUAAGGUCAGUUGUCAUUUUGUCUCUCUCAUUCCCCGCUCCCCCCAGUACAUCCUGGCAGGUAAUUGAAAGGUACCGAGUUUUCUUUCUAGUUUUCCUGCUCUGCGUCUCUGGGAACUGGAGCCUGCAGGACCUAGAGCCUUCUAUUGGUAACGUAGACCCGAGUUUACAAAUUAUUUUUUUAUCAUUUUAAAGCCUGCUUUUAAGAUCAGAGGUGUUCCUGGCUGCCCGCUACGGAAAGUGGUAGAAACGCCUGCAAAUGCAUAAAUUGCUUCAUCUCUCUGAAGACUGUGAGUAGGUCUCUCACAAGCAUCUUCAGGCUUGGGGCUGAGAAAAUAAUUUAUCCCAAAAUAUAUGUAAAAAAUGCCAUUUCUGUUUUACAGUGAGCAGGAAUGGGGGAGGGAAGGGUGGGAAAGGAAUUUGAAAAUACUUUUUUUUCCCCAUCCAUUUUUUUCUAAUUUACUUCUAGAAAGCAAGUAUGACGUGGGGAGAAGGGUGAGAAUUUGAGUUUUGACCUUCGUAAACUCAUUGUAAAACUCUUCCUCCAAGGCUGGGGGAAAGGGCAAGUAAAAGGUCUGAUCCUUAAAAGGACAUUGCUAGGUGUCUGGGACCCCCAAAAGCAGCUGGCAGUUUUUAAUUGCGGGAAUCACUUUAGGUUGUUUUUUCAGAGUUUUGGUUCAUACCAUGACAAAUCAACUUGGGAGCACUGAAGCCUCCUUUUUUUUCUUUUUUUUUUUUCUGCAAGUGUUUGCAACCCAAACACAACAGCGUUAUGCUAAUACUCAAGAAACAGAGAAGCUAAUGAGGAAUAGAAAAUGAGUUGACUAAAAAAAAAAAAACAGCCUUGACCCCCCCCAAAAAACGCAACCUCCCAAAAAAGCAAGGGAAAGAGGUCUCAAAUGCCUAGUCUGGUUUUAUUGUACAUGGUUGGCAAGAGUGUUUUUGGCAUAGCUGCAGCCUAACUAUGUCCCUUUAAGGAGCACCAGUGGCUAAUUUCCUCCUUAUGAACCCAAAAGCUGAGAUUUUUUGAGUUUUCAAGUGCAGAUCCAAGCUCCUGAGCCUUAGUUGGAGUCCAGAAUGAGGGCAGCCCUUCCAGCUGUGCACUUUGAGCUGAAAACUACCUUUCCUCCCCUUUUGCAGCCUGGGUGGUUCUGAUUGCUGGCAGUUCUGUAAUACAACUUUAAUCUGAGCAAUUGAGGCUGGUCCUACAUUAUCUUCAGACGUCUUGCGGAAGACUCCUGUUACCAGUUUGGUACCCAAAAGCUACACCCUACCAUCAGAAGUCACUUUUUUUUUUUUUUUUUUUCAGAGGCAGUGAUAGAUUACCCUCUCUAGCUCUAACAGAAAAGUGAUAAUUGCAAUGCAACUUUCUAAUAAAUUGUUCAUAUAUUCAUAAUUCUGUUACA